RNAcentral lists this ribosomal RNA (295 nucleotides) under Enterococcus faecalis. RNAcentral describes it as "partial 23S ribosomal RNA". It matches the Rfam family "Bacterial large subunit ribosomal RNA", at positions 375 to 673 of the family's 2925-position model. The record is from RNAcentral. Lineage: Bacteria; Bacillati; Bacillota; Bacilli; Lactobacillales; Enterococcaceae.
GUAGACGAAAUGCUAACAACGCCUAGGAGGAUCCUGAGUACGGCGGAACACGAGAAAUUCCGUCGGAAUCCGCGGGGACCAUCCCGCAAGGCUAAAUACUCCCUAGUGACCGAUAGUGAACCAGUACCGUGAGGGAAAGGUGAAAAGCACCCCGGAAGGGGAGUGAAAUAGAUCCUGAAACCGUGUGCCUACAACAAGUCAAAGCUCGUUAAUGAGUGAUGGCGUGCCUUUUGUAGAAUGAACCGGCGAGUUACGAUUGCAUGCGAGGUUAAGUUGAAGAGACGGAGCCGCAGCG